This 668-nucleotide ribosomal RNA is filed under the name uncultured bacterium. Its description in RNAcentral is "bacterial SSU rRNA". It matches the Rfam family "Bacterial small subunit ribosomal RNA", at positions 35 to 751 of the family's 1533-position model. The record is from RNAcentral.
GCUGGCGGUAAGGCUAAAGCUGCAAGUCUGGGAGAACCUUCGGGGGAAACCGGCUAAAGGGCGAGUAAUGCGAUCGAACGUACCCCAAUGUGGGGGAUAGCGUCGGGAAACUGGCGGUAAUACCCCGUGUGCUCUACGGAGGAAGUUGGGAGCGGCGAUCGUCCUAUCAGGUUGUUGGCGGGGUAAAGGCCCACCAAGCCGAAGACGGGUAGCGGGUGUGAGAGCAUGGCCCGCCGCAUCGGGACUGAGACACUGCCCGGACUCCUACGGGAGGCUGCAGCGACGAAUCUUCCGCAAUGCGCGAAAGCGUGACGGAGCAAUGCCGCGUGUAGGAUGAAGGCGCUCUGCGUCGUAAACUACUGUCAGACCCUAGAACCAACGAUCAGGGUCAGAGGAAGGGCCGGCUAAACUCGUGCCAGCAGCCGCGGUAAUGCGAGUGGCCCAAGCGUUAAUCGGAAUCACUGGGCUUAAAGCGUGCGCAGGCGGACCUUCAGGCGUCCCGUGAAAUACCCCGGCUCAACCGGGGAAUGGCUGGGCGAACCGUUGGUCUUGAGGCAGGUAGGGGGGUGCAGAACUGUCGGUGGAGCCGGUGAAAAUGCGUAGAUAUCGACAGGAAUGCCCGAAAGGCCCAAGGCGGCACCCUUGGGCCCUGUUCUUUGACGCUCAUG